Long non-coding RNA from Zonotrichia albicollis (white-throated sparrow), 1428 nucleotides. RefSeq lists it as uncharacterized. Lineage: Eukaryota; Metazoa; Chordata; Aves; Passeriformes; Passerellidae. The record is from RefSeq and is a predicted model, not a curated record.
GGAGGAGGGAAGUGCGGCUCAGACAGCGCGGCGCCAGCAAACACCUGCAAACAGCUCCGGGCACACAAUGGCAAAUACAGGUGGGAACCGCCGCCUCCGUCAGCGCAGCGAUUGCAUCAGACUCCGUCGCUUGCCAAGAGGCGAACGAGCCGGAUCACGGGCCACCGGCACCGCGGCGGGGUCGCGCUCGACCUUCACCACUCACCCCCCCCGGGUUUUCCAGGAAAGCAUCGGCAUCCCACAACAGCCAAGAUAAAUCUGUUCCAUGGGGUAAAUCUUCUCCCCGAGGUAAAUCCCAUCUGCCCCACGGGGUAAAUCAUCCCAUCAACCCCCUGAUGUAAAUCCCAGUCCCAGCAGUUAUUUUUAGUUUUGGGGGGGGUUCCUAUUUUUUUUUUUAGAGGCGUUUCAAAGAAAGUACUGGACACUGACAGCCCAGUCCAGGGAACUAGUGGGGUCUGAACACGGCUUGUGCCAGAGUCUGGGAAUGCCGGGGUAGCUGUUCCGGGCAAAGCGCCGGGAUCCAUCCACCACGGGGGAGGAGGUAGCGGCCCUGGGAGGCUUUUUGGGAGCUAGAGCCGAACCCCCACAGCCCCUGGCCUCGGAAAUCCCCUGCCCUGAUGCCUGAGAGGGGAUAGGGGCCACCUCCACUCCCCAGGGGCUGCAGUCCCCCUCCACCUCCCCAGUGUCAUUUCCAUCCAAAAAGCCCCAGCAGGACUGGUUUCUGCCACCCUAUCCUAGCCCCACUUCUCCAAGUAACUCCUGCCCCAAAGUAGGCUCACUAACGCUCCCACCAGUCUAGGAUUUCCACCACCAUCAUCUCUGAUGAGGGACCGAUUAGGACCUGGGAUGGAGUGCUCACACUGCAAGAAGCUGCACCUUCCAGGUACCAAGACUCAUCCCUGUCCCCUGGCUCAUGCCCAGGAUGCUUUUCCCACCCAUCCCACUUAAAUCUCUUUGGCACAUCAGCACUGGCACAGCUGGAGGACCAUGACACCCAGGUGAAUGUGGGGACACUCGCCCCUAACCCACCCCUUGCCUUUUCCUCCAGAGCCAAAAACCAGUGGAGAUGGCAAAAGCUAAUUUUUUCACUGUGAGCAUAACAGCAGUUCUGUUCCCAGAUGCAGUGGUUUUUGGAUGGACACCUUCACCUGCCUCUCACCAUGCCCGGACAGCCCAUGUCACCGCAUCCUACCCCAUCCAGAGGGCUCCAGCUACACUUCUAGAUGGUCCCCGGGGCUGCAGCACCGUCUUCACUCUUUCGGUAUCAGGUAAGCACAGCAGCACACAAAAUAGCUGGCAGCCACCUCGGCCAGGAACGGCCAGGAACGGGCGGCCCAGGGUUAAUUCCUCCCAUACUUGAGCUGACAUUUCAAUGCUAUUACACAAUUAUGGAGAUUCCUACUGUAACCCUAGAAGUUCCCAUCAAAG